UAUUAUAUUUAUAUGUCGCAGCGCGGUCAGGAUUAUCGGCCAUUUCGAAUAUUAAAUAACACGCAAAUAGUCCUUACAAUGUAAUUGAACUAACAGGCACAGGAUUACAACUAAUAGUCAAACAAUUAGGAGUCGUAUGAAACGCGGUGAUCCCGACGGUUAUGCCAAGCCAAGCCAAGACUUCUACGCAGCUUCCCUGACGGAGCUUAACUGUCCGCCCUCGCAGGUCUCCUCUACCGUCACCCUCGGUUCGAGUACCAUCCCCUGCUUAGCACUUCCGCUAAUUCCACCCAAGUACUAUAAGUAUGCAACCCAUAGUACUACUUGCGUUUCACAUGAACCCUCCGA
This is a long non-coding RNA of Aethina tumida (small hive beetle), 348 nucleotides long. RefSeq lists it as uncharacterized. The transcript has 2 exons. The record is from RefSeq and is a predicted model, not a curated record. Lineage: Eukaryota; Metazoa; Arthropoda; Insecta; Coleoptera; Nitidulidae.